CUUAGAAAUCCUCACUACUUUAUAACUCUACUUCCCAAGACCCUGACCCACUUAAACAUCAAUAACCCUUGAUCCAACCCUUCGAUCAAGCUAAAACUCACAACAUGUAUUAAAUACAUAUAUAUCCAUAAAUUCUUAAAAUUUCACUUACAAAUCUAUUGCCAAACUUACGAAAUUCUCCAAAAAUUAUCACACUUUAUUUCACAAAUCCACAAUCAUCCAAAAAUAAUUCCGACUUUGUAAA
RNAcentral lists this long non-coding RNA (244 nucleotides) under Physcomitrium patens. RNAcentral describes it as "long non-coding RNA (PPAT_LNC008709)". The record is from RNAcentral. Lineage: Eukaryota; Viridiplantae; Streptophyta; Bryopsida; Funariales; Funariaceae.